Melospiza melodia melodia is the source of this 167-nucleotide long non-coding RNA. RefSeq lists it as uncharacterized. Lineage: Eukaryota; Metazoa; Chordata; Aves; Passeriformes; Passerellidae. The transcript is spliced from 3 exons. The record is from RefSeq and is a predicted model, not a curated record.
AGGUUGUGAAGAACUUUCAGUUGCAAAAUGGUUACUUUGCAGCGCAUCUCUUUUGCCUUUAAAUACAUCUCAGGGGUAAGUGAGUGAACAUGAGGUGAGAACUUACCUACCAGCAAGGGCCAAUCCAGCACAGUUUGUUGGUCUUCCUGGAUCCUGCAAAGAGCUGC